This 899-nucleotide ribosomal RNA is filed under the name uncultured archaeon. RNAcentral's name for it is "bacterial SSU rRNA". It matches the Rfam family "Archaeal small subunit ribosomal RNA", at positions 1 to 907 of the family's 1478-position model. The record is from RNAcentral.
UUCCGGUUGAUCCCGCCGGACCUGACUGCUAUCGGAUUGAUACUAAGCCAUGCGAGUCGUUGUAGCAAUACAAGGCAUACGGCUCAGUAACGCGUAGUCAACCUAACCUAUGGACGGGAAUAACCUCGGGAAACUGAGAAUAAUGCCCGAUAGAACAUUAUGCCUGGAAUGGUUUAUGUUCCAAAUGAUUUAUCGCCAUAGGAUGGGACUGCGGCCUAUCAGUUUGUUGGUGAGGUAAUGGCCCACCAAGACUAUUACAGGUACGGGCUCUGAGAGGAGUAGCCCGGAGAUGGGUACUGAGACACGGACCCAGGCCCUAUGGGGCGCAGCAGGCGAGAAAACUUUGCAAUGUGCGAAAGCACGACAAGGUUAAUCCGAGUGAUUUCUGCUAAAGAGAUCUUUUGUUAGUCCUAGAAACACUAACGAAUAAGGGGUGGGCAAGUUCUGGUGUCAGCCGCCGCGGUAAAACCAGCACCUCAAGUGGUCAGGAUGAUUAUUGGGCCUAAAGCAUCCGUAGCCGGCUCUGUAAGUUUUCGGUUAAAUCUGUACGCUCAACGUACAGGCUGCCGGGAAUACUGCAGAACUAGGGAGUGGGAGAGGUAGACGGUACUCGGUAGGAAGUGGUAAAAUGCCUUGAUCUAUCGAUGACCACCUGUGGCGAAGGCGGUCUACCAGAACACGUCCGACGGUGAGGGAUGAAAGCUGGGGGAGCAAACCGGAUUAGAUACCCGGGUAGUCCCAGCUGUAAACUAUGCAAACUCAGUGAUGCAUUGGCUUGUGGCCAAUGCAGUGCUGCAGGGAAGCCGUUAAGUUUGCCGCCUGGGAAGUACGUACGCAAGUAUGAAACUUAAAGGAAUUGGCGGGGGAGCACCACAAGGGGUGAAGCCUGCGGUUCAAUU